CAGAAUACAGAAUGUGGGAAGAUGGCGGACUUAGCAAUAAUGAAAUGACAAUGAGCAAAAAACUUCCUACAAUAAACCAAGAGUUUUACUGCCAGCAGAGGAACUGAAAACUGUGAGUGAGAAUAAUGUUCCUGAAAAUGUUCCAGCCAUCUCUACACACAGAAGCAGAAAAGAGAGAAGCUAUGGAAUGACUCAGCCCUAAUAGGCCUGAGAGCCAGCCAGCCCAAACCAGUAAUGAGAGCCAACUUGGUAAUAAGAUUCCUCCAGAGAGCCAACCUGGGUCUGCCUAAGGGUCUCAGCAACAGCAGCUGAGACAGGAUCUGAGAUAACCUGGACCAGUAUGAGGAAGCCAUGUCACACCAGCAGAUGCAUACUCAUCAGACC
Molecule: non-coding RNA, 384 nt
Organism: Peromyscus maniculatus bairdii (prairie deer mouse)
Lineage: Eukaryota; Metazoa; Chordata; Mammalia; Rodentia; Cricetidae
Source: RefSeq, a predicted model, not a curated record